This 72-nucleotide transfer RNA is filed under the name Camelus bactrianus (Bactrian camel). It matches the Rfam family "tRNA". Rfam says of the family: Transfer RNA (tRNA) molecules are approximately 80 nucleotides in length. Their secondary structure includes four short double-helical elements and three loops (D, anti-codon, and T loops). Further hydrogen bonds mediate the characteristic L-shaped molecular structure. tRNAs have two regions of fundamental functional importance: the anti-codon, which is responsible for specific mRNA codon recognition, and the 3' end, to which the tRNAs corresponding amino acid is attached (by aminoacyl-tRNA synthetases). tRNAs cope with the degeneracy of the genetic code in two manners: having more than one tRNA (with a specific anti-codon) for a particular amino acid; and 'wobble' base-pairing, i.e. permitting non-standard base-pairing at the 3rd anti-codon position. The record is from Rfam by way of RNAcentral. RNAcentral also lists the same sequence under 1 other name. Lineage: Eukaryota; Metazoa; Chordata; Mammalia; Artiodactyla; Camelidae.
GAGGGGAUAGCUCAGGGGUAGAGUGUGUGCUUAGCAUGCACAAGGUCCUAGGUUCAAUCCCCAGUACCUCCA